Molecule: transfer RNA, 90 nt
Filed under: Burkholderia metallica
Lineage: Bacteria; Pseudomonadati; Pseudomonadota; Betaproteobacteria; Burkholderiales; Burkholderiaceae
Description: tRNA-Ser
Source: RNAcentral
GCGCCGAUCGGGCCGGCGGUCGCGAACGCGAUCUUCGCGGCGACGGGCAAGCGGCAUUACGUGCUGCCGUUCGAUUCGGCGGAUAGCGCU